CAGACCAAGUCAGCUGGAGGAGCAUGGUCUUUCUUCUCCCCACUGCCAAGCGCUCCUUCAGGCUUGCCCCUAAUGAACGGUCAACUCCUGUUAAAGGUUGUGAAAAACAGUUUUUCACAGAUAAAAUCUCUUGGAUUCGGGCCAACUUAGAUGGAGACUCCACAAUUAAUUUCAUGUCUGAACUGGAGGUGUCCAGCAACAUCUCUUAUGCGAUUUGACUGGAUCGGUUUCAGUUUGUGACUCCUGAGGAUGUGGACAAGCUGCUUGGAGAGAACCAGGGACGACGAAGGAGUGAAUCCCAAGGGAAGUGCACACAACAGUGGUCAGAAAGGAACUGAGAUGCAAAGCGCUCUGGUGCCAAAAAUACCAAGUGCGCUUGCUGCACCAAGGGCAGAGGUUCAGAGUGCUUUGAAGAGCUUGUAAAUCCUUUCAUGGGGACUACUGCACAGGCACAGAGCCCACGUUGUGAAGGACACCAGACCACCACAGAGAUCUGCUACAAAUUAACAAGGUCAGAAUAUCCCAGAGCAGAU
This is a long non-coding RNA of Hemicordylus capensis (graceful crag lizard), 533 nucleotides long. RefSeq lists it as uncharacterized. The transcript has 3 exons. NCBI's taxonomy places the organism in Eukaryota, Metazoa, Chordata, Lepidosauria, Squamata, Cordylidae. The record is from RefSeq and is a predicted model, not a curated record.